GAACCAGAAAUAAUAAAUGACUGCCUUCCCCAAAAUUGAAAUUGGCAAUGUAGAUAUUUUAGCAGGAAAUAGAAUUUACAUAUAAAUUUCAAUUUCUGUUUCUAUUUCCUGCUUAAAUAUCUAUCUACAUUGCCAACAACUAAAGGAAAGAAGACAAUCAUUUAAUCUACUCUGAUUC
This 178-nucleotide microRNA precursor is filed under the name Callithrix jacchus (white-tufted-ear marmoset). RNAcentral's name for it is "microRNA cja-mir-4503 precursor". The record is from miRBase by way of RNAcentral. Lineage: Eukaryota; Metazoa; Chordata; Mammalia; Primates; Cebidae.